This 2616-nucleotide long non-coding RNA is filed under the name Sus scrofa (pig). Its description in RNAcentral is "lncRNA (ENSSSCG00000058060.1)". Lineage: Eukaryota; Metazoa; Chordata; Mammalia; Artiodactyla; Suidae. The record is from RNAcentral.
GCGCGGUGGGGAGACGGUGGCCGACACCCGGGCUCCGGGCGGCGCUUGCUGCCGUUUAGCGGCUUUAGCCUUUUGUUUCAGUGUCUGAGAAAAUGGGGCGAAAGAGAGCUUGGUGUGCGCGCGCGUGUAUGUGUGUGUGUGUGUGUAAAUCAGGAGGCGUUUGGCUUGGAGCCAUUUUUUUUCUUAAUUGUGGAGACAGAGAAUCCCUUAAAACGGUUUCCCCGGGGAGACCGUGCUCCUCCUCUUCCUCCCCGGCGUCUGGAUGGAGUGGAUUUCCCUCCCGGCCUCUGCCCACCUUCUCGUCCUCCACGCUGUCCCCCUCCCUCCUUCCCCUUCCUGCCGCCCCACCUCCGUGAACCCCCGAGCGAGCGGGGUGUCUGCAAAGCGGCCCGGUCACCUGUCGUGGCAGCUGCAUGGAAAUGCUGGCGCUUCUGCUGUCUGGUCUGUGCUGUUUCCUCUGGCAAAUCACAGGGAUUCCGCCCAGAAUACCAACCCUUCCUCUUUUCCCUGCGCUUCAAAACAAAGUGCAUGAUGCUGCUUCUGAAGUUUGACCCGCCUGGGCAAUUAGUGGAGAGGUGUCUACUUUUUCUGGUCCCACCACCUCAAGGUUGGAAAGGUGAGGGCCAUCUAGCUGAAAGGAGAUGAAGGUGACACAGUCCUGUCGGGGAUGAGUGUGGCUUACCUGCUAAAUCGCUACGGAGAUCAGAAAGUCUAGUAACACUUUCCUCCUAGUGGGCAGUCAGCUCCCUGUGCAGGGAGCUCUUCCCCCUGUACCCGGGGCUUUCCUCUUUGUAUUUUGCCGUAGUUCAGCACCUUAAGGGGUACCCAGUAGGCAGUUUCUUUAAAAAGCACAGUAAUUUAUUUCUAAGGUUUUGAAGAAUGUAGAAUUUCUUUUUAAAAAAAUUAUUUAUUUUAUUUUUUUUUUUUGUCUUUCUGCCUUUUCUAGAGCCGCUCUCAUGGCAUAUGGAGGUUCCCAGGCUAGGGGUCAAAUUGGAGCUGUAGCCGUCGGCCUAUGCCAGAGCCACAGCAAGGCGGGUUCCGAGCCCCUUCUGCGACCUACACCACAGCUCAUGGCAAUGCCGGAUCCUUAACCCACUGAGCAAGGCCAGGGAUCGAACCCAAAACCUCAUGGUUCCUAGUCGGAUUCGUUAACCACUGCGCCACGACGGGAACUCCUAAAAAAUUUAUUUUUUUAUAAUGAUUUUUAUUUUUUCCAUUAUAGCUGGUUUACAGUGUUCUGUCAGUUUUCUGCUGUACAGCAAGGUGACCCAGUUAUACAUACAUGGAUACGUGCCAUGUCAACCAUUUAAAGUGGACAGUUCAAUGGCAUGAAGUAUGUUCACAUUGUGGUGCUAUCAUCACCACCAUUCAUCUCCAGAACUUUUUCAUCUCCCUGAACCGAAACUUUGUAUCCAUUAAACACUAACUUCCCCUCCCCUUCUCCCCCACUUCCCGCUCCUGACAAUCACCCUUCUACUCUGAGGUUGACUGCUUAGGUCUCAUACCAGUGCAGUCAUACAGUAUUUGUCCUUUUGUGUCUUCCUUACUUCACUAAGCAUAAUGUUUUUAAGGUUCAUCCAUAUUCUAGCAUGUAUCAGAAUUUGUUUCCUUUUUAAGGCUGAAUAUGUACAUGUUAUAUUUUGUUUAUAAAUGUUCUAAGUUAAACACACUAAGUGUCAGCAGCCAAGGUAACCUCAUGAUGGUCCAGCACACUCACUGGAAAUUUAGAUUCCUUUGUUUAAUUAAAAUGGAAAAUCGAAUGAGUUAUUUAAUGCACAGUACCUAAAUAAAACGUGUUAUAGCCUUGCUGGAUCCUGUAAUUUCCCUUCCACAUGGUUAGUGAAAUAUAGUACAUCCUUCUGAAAUUUGCAGCUGGUACAGAUGAUGUUUUUGUUUCCCAGCUAAUGUUAUAAUGAUGGUAUGUUUUGCUGUAUGGAAGAGCAAUAAAGGGCUCACCCUGAGGUACAGAUUAUAUAGGAAUGUUUAUUUCUCCUUACCACUUUGCAACAUCAUGAGUUAGUUGUUUUGUUGUCUCCCUAGCAUCCGUCAGUGGUGGUGGAGGAGGGACCUUCCUUUUUUUUUUUUUUUUUUUUUGAGUAUCUUUAUGAACUUCUCUAUUUUAGCAUAUAUUAUGUGUUUUAGUCCAUUUCAGUUAUUGUCCUUUUGAUGCUCAAAUUGCCCUAUCUUUGGGCAUAUAGGCUUAUUCAGAUUCACUCUGAGUCCUUAGGACACACUAACCUCUUGUAGUUUCCUUGCUUUCUGGUAUAAUGAGAUGGUCAGGGCUCAUCCUGUAACCAUCCUAUUCCAGGUUUGGAAUCAGAACAGACCAUUUUUAUUUUAUUUAUUUUAUUUUUUUGUCUUUUUUUUUAAGGGCCAUUCCCACAGCAUAUGGAUUUUCCAAGGCUAGGGGUCUAAUCGGAGCUAUAGCUGCCAGCCUGUGCCACAGCCACAGCAGCGCAGGAUCUGAGCUGUGUCUGCAACCUACACCACAGCUCAUAGCAACACCAGGUUCUUAACCCACUGAUUGAGGCCAGGGAUUGAACCUGCAACCUCAUGGUUACUAGUCAGGUUCGUUCAUCACUGAACCAAGAUGGGAACUCCAGAACAGUCCCUUUU